GGAGAGAUGGCUGAGUGGUUGAUAGCCCCGGUCUGAAACC
This 40-nucleotide transfer RNA is filed under the name Armeria pungens. RNAcentral's name for it is "partial tRNA-Ser". Lineage: Eukaryota; Viridiplantae; Streptophyta; Magnoliopsida; Caryophyllales; Plumbaginaceae. The record is from RNAcentral.